GCGGAGCCAGGCGGGGAGGAGGGUGUGCAUCCUUCCGCGUCCGCCCCGCGCGCCUUUUGGUCCUGGGAUCUAACCGGAAGAAAGUGGGCAAAGGAGUCCUCCGGGAGUGUCCCGUGGAUCGACUUUGCGUCCCUCAGGGUCCACAGCACACUGACCACUUCCUGGACUCUGCUCAGGGUCUAAGUCUUGGCCAUCGUUAUUGCCCCAGGGACUCUGUUGUACUCUCAACACUGGAAUUGUCCUCCUCAGUGGCUGCCCCACUUGGCUACCCAUAGGUCUGGGCCUGGGCUCACCCCAGCAACAACCCUGAUGAGAUCGUCUUCAGGACGUAUUUAUAACACAUCAGUUCUGCCUAUGAUCCUGGAUAAUGUGCAGAGCCAGUGAGCCGCCUAUGGCCUGCCUCAGGAGACAAGCCUCAGCCACUUUGAUCUCACCUUGUACCUAAAUGGAAAGGCAAUCAGCCUCCCGCUGAAGGGCCCCCACGUCUGUCUCCUGUUUCCACGCCAUUACCCCAGGAGAUGCCUGGCUUCCCAUUUCCAGUUCCAGUUGCUGUGACAGUUUCAGCCUCUCCCCUCAGCCCACGUCCCUCGCUUGAGCAGCGAGAUGUGAAGACUGACAGCCACUUGAGAACUGCACAGACUGUCCCCAA
Molecule: non-coding RNA, 649 nt
Organism: Leptonychotes weddellii (Weddell seal)
Lineage: Eukaryota; Metazoa; Chordata; Mammalia; Carnivora; Phocidae
Source: RefSeq, a predicted model, not a curated record